Molecule: ribosomal RNA, 661 nt
Filed under: uncultured Bacteroidales bacterium
Lineage: Bacteria; Pseudomonadati; Bacteroidota; Bacteroidia; Bacteroidales
Description: bacterial SSU rRNA
Rfam family: Bacterial small subunit ribosomal RNA
Source: RNAcentral
GUAGCAAUACCGGGUGGCGACCGGCGCACGGGUGAGUAACGCGUAUGCAACUUACCUAUCAGAGGGGGAUAACCCGGCGUAAAGUCGGACUAAUACCGCAUGAAGCAGGGGCCCCGCAUGGGGAUAUUUGCUAAAGAUUCAUCGCUGAUAGAUAGGCAUGCGUUCCGUUAGGCAGUUGGCGGGGUAACGGCCCACCAAACCGACGAUGGAUAGGGGUUCUGAGAGGAAGGUCCCCCACAUUGGUACUGAGACACGGACCAAACUCCUACGGGAGGCAGCAGUGAGGAAUAUUGGUCAAUGGCCGAGAGGCUGAACCAGCCAAGUCGCGUGAGGGAUGAAGGUUCUAUGGAUCGUAAACCUCUUUUAUAAGGGAAUAAAGUGCGGGACGUGUCCCGUUUUGUAUGUACCUUAUGAAUAAGGAUCGGCUAACUCCGUGCCAGCAGCCGCGGUAAUACGGAGGAUCCGAGCGUUAUCCGGAUUUAUUGGGUUUAAAGGGUGCGUAGGCGGCCUUUUAAGUCAGCGGUGAAAGUCUGUGGCUCAACCAUAGAAUUGCCGUUGAAACUGGGGGGCUUGAGUAUGUUUGAGGCAGGCGGAAUGCGUGGUGUAGCGGUGAAAUGCAUAGAGAUCAUACAGAACACCGAUUGCGAAGGCAGCUUACCAA